This 577-nucleotide ribosomal RNA is filed under the name Saccharomyces cerevisiae (brewer's yeast). RNAcentral's name for it is "eukaryotic LSU rRNA". It matches the Rfam family "Eukaryotic large subunit ribosomal RNA", at positions 76 to 668 of the family's 3401-position model. The record is from RNAcentral. Lineage: Eukaryota; Fungi; Ascomycota; Saccharomycetes; Saccharomycetales; Saccharomycetaceae.
UGCCUUAGUAACGGCGAGUGAAGCGGCAAAAGCUCAAAUUUGAAAUCUGGUACCUUCGGUGCCCGAGUUGUAAUUUGGAGAGGGCAACUUUGGGGCCGUUCCUUGUCUAUGUUCCUUGGAACAGGACGUCAUAGAGGGUGAGAAUCCCGUGUGGCGAGGAGUGCGGUUCUUUGUAAAGUGCCUUCGAAGAGUCGAGUUGUUUGGGAAUGCAGCUCUAAGUGGGUGGUAAAUUCCAUCUAAAGCUAAAUAUUGGCGAGAGACCGAUAGCGAACAAGUACAGUGAUGGAAAGAUGAAAAGAACUUUGAAAAGAGAGUGAAAAAGUACGUGAAAUUGUUGAAAGGGAAGGGCAUUUGAUCAGACAUGGUGUUUUGUGCCCUCUGCUCCUUGUGGGUAGGGGAAUCUCGCAUUUCACUGGGCCAGCAUCAGUUUUGGUGGCAGGAUAAAUCCAUAGGAAUGUAGCUUGCCUCGGUAAGUAUUAUAGCCUGUGGGAAUACUGCCAGCUGGGACUGAGGACUGCGACGUAAGUCAAGGAUGCUGGCAUAAUGGUUAUAUGCCGCCCGUCUUGAACACGGACCA